RNAcentral lists this ribosomal RNA (999 nucleotides) under uncultured bacterium. Its description in RNAcentral is "bacterial SSU rRNA". It matches the Rfam family "Bacterial small subunit ribosomal RNA", at positions 505 to 1501 of the family's 1533-position model. The record is from RNAcentral.
GUGCCAGCAGCCGCGGUAAUACGAAGGGUGCAAGCGUUAAUCGGAAUUACUGGGCGUAAAGGGUGCGUAGGCGGUUGGUUAAGUCUGUUGUGAAAUCCCCGGGCUCAACCUGGGAAUGGCAAUGGAUACUGGCGAGCUAGAGUGUGUCAGAGGAUGGUGGAAUUCCCGGUGUAGCGGUGAAAUGCGUAGAGAUCGGGAGGAACAUCAGUGGCGAAGGCGGCCAUCUGGGACAACACUGACGCUGAAGCACGAAAGCGUGGGGAGCAAACAGGAUUAGAUACCCUGGUAGUCCACGCCCUAAACGAUGCGAACUGGAUGUUGGUCUCAACUCGGAGAUCAGUGUCGAAGCUAACGCGUUAAGUUCGCCGCCUGGGGAGUACGGUCGCAAGACUGAAACUCAAAGGAAUUGACGGGGGCCCACACAAGCGGUGGAGUAUGUGGUUUAAUUCGAUGCAACGCGAAGAACCUUACCUGGCCUUGACAUGUCCGGAAUCCUGCAGAGAUGCGGGAGUGCCUUCGGGAAUCGGAACACAGGUGCUGCAUGGCUGUCGUCAGCUCGUGUCGUGAGAUGUUGGGUUAAGUCCCGCAACGAGCGCAACCCUUGUCCUUAGUUGCCAGCACGUCAUGGUGGGAACUCUAAGGAGACUGCCGGUGACAAACCGGAGGAAGGUGGGGAUGACGUCAAGUCCUCAUGGCCCUUACGGCCAGGGCUACACACGUACUACAAUGGUCGGUACAGAGGGUUGCGAAGCCGCGAGGUGGAGCCAAUCCCAGAAAGCCGAUCCCAGUCCGGAUCGAAGUCUGCAACUCGACUUCGUGAAGUCGGAAUCGCUAGUAAUCGCGGAUCAGCUAUGCCGCGGUGAAUACGUUCCCGGGCCUUGUACACACCGCCCGUCACACCAUGGGAGUGGGUUGCUCCAGAAGCCGUUAGUCUAACCGCAAGGAGGACGACGACCACGGAGUGGUUCACGACUGGGGUGAAGUCGUAACAAGGUAACC